UCAGGUAGGCUCCCUUGUUCCUACUGUACUUGAUCUAUAUUUAUCUUUAUUUUCUUUCCAUAUAUUUCUUUUUGGAACUGGUAUGCCAGGUCAAUUAAUCGUAACUCGAUGCGAUAUGACAUGUUUUGGUGUCAUCUCUGGUGUCAAUCUAGGUCAGCAUCUUGACCAAUUGUGGUUUCUCUUUAACUUCUAUUGCUCCUCUCUUGCGGUUCAUGGGACCGGAAGAGAUGUCGCUUUGCGUUCCAGGCACCGGUAGCUGCCAGGGUCUGCGGUCCAUUGUACCACAGCAUACUUCCGGUUGCGCUUCACACUAUCUGUGUGGCGCUGCGAAUAGUUCCGCCUUCUGUGCGGGUCAAUUCGCCGGAUGUGACGUCUUUGCUGCGUUCCAUACACCGGAAGCAGCAUCAUCAAAGACGCCCGGGAGCUCUAUUUAAACGCCGGGUGAGCUUCGAUAUCCAGCGGCGUGCUGGCGCUCACCAUCUCCGGUAGCAUACAUCAUAUCCUCAUCUGACAAGCUACCUGGGAUCUAUCUCAGGCUAAAAUGGCCUCAUCUUGUUUAUGCACACGCUGACUCUAUUUAGUGGCUGUGGACAGUUAUCAAUUUUGAUUUGGAACCAAUUGAAUCUGGCUUAUAUGGGAUAUCAUACAUGUACAGGCUGUCGCAUCAGGACCUAACGUUACCUUCUUGAUCUAUCAUCAUUUUCUAUUGAUUAUGGCAUCUACCACUUAUUCACACCUGUGG
This is a long non-coding RNA of Hyla sarda, 742 nucleotides long. RefSeq lists it as uncharacterized. NCBI's taxonomy places the organism in Eukaryota, Metazoa, Chordata, Amphibia, Anura, Hylidae. The record is from RefSeq and is a predicted model, not a curated record. The transcript is spliced from 4 exons.